CCCUUAGAUGUUCUGGGCAGCACGCGCGCUACAAUGGUCUUCGCAAACGGAUGCAUUCUCGAAGGAGAAUGCCAAUCUUGGAAUCUAUGCCUUGGUCGGGACAGUUGCUUGCAAUUUUUCGACUCGAACCAGGAAUUCCUUGUAAUCGUGAUUCAUCACAUCACGAUGAAUACGUCCCUGCCCUUUGUACACACCGCCCGUCGCUCCUACCGAUCGAAUGUGUUGGUGAGGAGCUCGGAUUGGCAGCAGUUGGUGGUUCGCCACCGGCUAUUGCUGAGAAGUCCUCCAAACCGCCCCAUUUAGAGGAAGGAGAAGUCGUAACA
RNAcentral lists this ribosomal RNA (323 nucleotides) under uncultured eukaryote. Its description in RNAcentral is "partial 18S ribosomal RNA". It matches the Rfam family "Eukaryotic small subunit ribosomal RNA", at positions 1470 to 1796 of the family's 1831-position model. The record is from RNAcentral.